This 450-nucleotide ribosomal RNA is filed under the name uncultured bacterium. RNAcentral describes it as "bacterial SSU rRNA". It matches the Rfam family "Bacterial small subunit ribosomal RNA", at positions 64 to 507 of the family's 1533-position model. The record is from RNAcentral.
GAGCGGUAACAGGUGUAGCAAUACAUGCUGACGAGCGGCGAACGGGUGAGUAAUGCUUUGGAAUCUUCCCAGUAGUGGGGAAUAACUAGCCGAAAGGUUAGCUAAUACCGCAUACGACCUACGGGUGAAAGCAGGGGAUCGCAAGACCUUGCGCUAUUGGAUGAGCCGAAGUCGGAUUAGCUAGUUGGUAGGGUAACGGCCUACCAAGGCGACAAUCCGUAGCUGGUCUGAGAGGACGACCAGCCACACUGGGACUGAGACACGGCCCAGACUCCUACGGGAGGCAGCAGUGGGGAAUAUUGGACAAUGGGGGAAACCCUGAUCCAGCGACGCCGCGUGUGUGAAGAAGGCCUGCGGGUUGUAAAGCACUUUUAGUGGGGAUGAAAAGCCAAUAGCUAAUACCUGUUGGUAUUGACCUAACCCACAGAAAAAGCACCGGCUAACUCUGUG